Molecule: unclassified non-coding RNA, 219 nt
Filed under: Glomeraceae sp.
Lineage: Eukaryota; Fungi; Glomeromycota; Glomeromycetes; Glomerales; Glomeraceae
Description: partial contains 5.8S ribosomal RNA and internal transcribed spacer 2
Rfam family: 5.8S ribosomal RNA (bases 1-71)
Source: RNAcentral
GUGAAUCAUCGAAUCUUUGAACGCAAAUUGCACUUCCUAGCAUCCCGGGAAGUAUGCCUGUUUGAGGGUCAGUAUUAACAAAAAAAUCGGUGUCGUUGCAAUUUGUGACGUUUCCGGUGGUUGGUCUAUCUUAACUUUAUUGGUUAAGCGGCUUAAAAUUGACUUUUUUUGCUCAUUUUUAGGCGUACAUAAAUUUUUUUUUUUUUCUUCUGUUCUUAA